This 87-nucleotide transfer RNA is filed under the name Rhodothermales bacterium. RNAcentral's name for it is "tRNA-Ser". It matches the Rfam family "tRNA". From Rfam's summary of the family: Transfer RNA (tRNA) molecules are approximately 80 nucleotides in length. Their secondary structure includes four short double-helical elements and three loops (D, anti-codon, and T loops). Further hydrogen bonds mediate the characteristic L-shaped molecular structure. tRNAs have two regions of fundamental functional importance: the anti-codon, which is responsible for specific mRNA codon recognition, and the 3' end, to which the tRNAs corresponding amino acid is attached (by aminoacyl-tRNA synthetases). tRNAs cope with the degeneracy of the genetic code in two manners: having more than one tRNA (with a specific anti-codon) for a particular amino acid; and 'wobble' base-pairing, i.e. permitting non-standard base-pairing at the 3rd anti-codon position. Lineage: Bacteria; Pseudomonadati; Rhodothermota; Rhodothermia; Rhodothermales. RNAcentral also lists the same sequence under 2 other names. The record is from RNAcentral.
GGAGGGGUGGCAGAGCGGACGAAUGCACCGGUCUUGAAAACCGGCGUACCCUCGCGGGUACCGGGGGUUCGAAUCCCUCCCCCUCCG